GCCUGGCUAGCUCAGUCGGUAGAGCAUGAGACUCUUAAUCUCAGUUCGAGCCCCCCGUUGGGCG
Molecule: non-coding RNA, 64 nt
Organism: Daphnia pulex (common water flea)
Lineage: Eukaryota; Metazoa; Arthropoda; Branchiopoda; Diplostraca; Daphniidae
Source: Rfam